AGGAGCCUACCAUGCAGUCGAGCGAGAUCUUCGGAUCUAGCGGCGGACGGGUGAGUAACGCGUGGGAACGUACCCUCUUCUGCGGGAUAGCCACUGGAAACGGUGAGUAAUACCGCAUACGCCCUUCGGGGGAAAGAUUUAUCGGAGGAGGAUCGGCCCGCGUUGGAUUAGGUAGUUGGUGGGGUAAUGGCCUACCAAGCCUACGAUCCAUAGCUGGUUUUAGAGGAUGAUCAGCCACACUGGGACUGAGACACGGCCCAGACUCCUACGGGAGGCAGCAGUGGGGAAUCUUAGACAAUGGGCGCAAGCCUGAUCUAGCCAUGCCGCGUGAGUGACGAAGGCCUUAGGGUCGUAAAGCUCUUUCGCCUGUGAUGAUAAUGACAGUAGCAGGUAAAGAAACCCCGGCUAACUCCGUGCCAGCAGCCGCGGUAAUACGGAGGGGGUUAGCGUUGUUCGGAAUUACUGGGCGUAAAGCGCACGUAGGCGGAUUGGAAAGUAUGGGGUGAAAUCCCAGGGCUCAACCCUGGAACGGCCUCAUAAACUUCCAGUCUGGAGUUCGAGAGAGGUGAGUGGAAUUCCGAGUGUAGAGGUGAAAUUCGUAGAUAUUCGGAGGAACACCAGUGGCGAAGGCGGCUCACUGGCUCGAUACUGACGCUGAGGUGCGAAAGUGUGGGGAGCAAACAGGAUUAGAUACCCUGGUAGUCC
This 705-nucleotide ribosomal RNA is filed under the name Roseovarius sp. RNAcentral describes it as "bacterial SSU rRNA". It matches the Rfam family "Bacterial small subunit ribosomal RNA", at positions 44 to 796 of the family's 1533-position model. The record is from RNAcentral. Lineage: Bacteria; Pseudomonadati; Pseudomonadota; Alphaproteobacteria; Rhodobacterales; Roseobacteraceae.